CCUACGGGAGGCAGCAGUGGGGAAUAUUGGACAAUGGGCGAAAGCCUGAUCCAGCAAUGCCGCGUGAGUGAUGAAGGCCUUAGGGUUGUAAAGCUCUUUUACCCGGGAUGAUAAUGACAGUACCGGGAGAAUAAGCUCCGGCUAACUCCGUGCCAGCAGCCGCGGUAAUACGGAGGGAGCUAGCGUUAUUCGGAAUUACUGGGCGUAAAGCGCACGUAGGCGGCUUUGUAAGUAAGAGGUGAAAGCCUGGUGCUCAACACCAGAACUGCCUUUUAGACUGCAUCGCUUGAAUCCAGGAGAGGUGAGUGGAAUUCCGAGUGUAGAGAUGAAAUUCGUAGAUAUUCGGAAGAACACCAGUUGGCGAAGGCGGCUC
Molecule: ribosomal RNA, 373 nt
Filed under: uncultured bacterium
Lineage: Bacteria
Description: bacterial SSU rRNA
Rfam family: Bacterial small subunit ribosomal RNA
Source: RNAcentral